This 2079-nucleotide long non-coding RNA is filed under the name Homo sapiens (human). Its description in RNAcentral is "HSALNT0333751". Lineage: Eukaryota; Metazoa; Chordata; Mammalia; Primates; Hominidae. The record is from RNAcentral.
GCUUGCCGGCCUGGCGGUCCUACUCAACACCGCAAGAUUUCAAAAGGGAAAUUCCUCCAGGGCUGAGUCACAGGGAAGAAAGCGAUUUCCUCCGCCUCUUCCAAAGCGGCCCCUUUGGUGCCAGUCUGCUGGAGUUUGCUGGAGGUCCACUCCUGACCCUGUUUGCCUGGGUAUCACCAGCAGAGGCUGCAAAGCAGCAAAGAUUGCUGCCUGUUCUUUCUUCUAGAAGCUUCGACCCAGUGGGGCACCUGUCAGAUGCCAGCCAGAGCUCUCCUGUAUCAGGUGUCUGUCGGUCCAAGCUAGAAGGAUUUUAUAACCUGACAGCGUGCUGGAACUUCUCUGCUGGACUCCUGGACUCCCACAAUGGUUGUGGGGCUAGACAAGAAGGAAAAAAAUCACUGUCCUCAUGGAAGUUAAAUUGUACUGACAAAGGAGGAAAAUGUCAGGGAGUUAACAAUUCAGUCUCUGUGGCUUCCUCCUGUCCUCUCCCUGAAACUGAGAUCCAGCCAAUCUGCACAUUUAUUCUGAGAGUGGCCCCACUUUAAUGACUACACCCAGCUGUCUACACACCAGGAGGGGAGGGAACUGUAUCCUGAGGCACCAACCCGAUUACCCACCCAACAGCCACAGGGACUUCCAGUGACUGGGGCAUCAUCCUCAAUGCCACCAACCCCUCUCCUUCCUGUGGCUUUUCUAACUGGAACUGGAACUCAGAAAGUACAUUAAUCACCAAUUUGGGAAGCUAUAGGAAAGUAUGUUUUCUAAUAUACAGUGAGAGAAUGUGACUGAUAAAACCAAUUUUCUUGAGACUUUCUCCCUGGAAAGUGAAUAUAUGUAUUCAUAGGGCCUUCACAAGCACAGACUAACAAGCAAAGAGCUACAUUCACUGGGAAGGAAGACUCAAAAGUAAGUGAAAAAUAAUAGUUAACCUUUAGAUGUUGUGCAAUAAAUUAUUUUUAAUUACAUUAAAUCAAAAUAGUGUUAAAAUAUUUUCAGGUAAACCUAGUAUAUUUACUAAUAAAUUUAAGUCUUCAUAAAUAUAAAGAUAGAUCAAUGUAAAUGUAAAAAUCAUUUGUUAAACUCCAGAGAUUAUAUAAACAAAAGGUGAACCUAAUGUAAAACUGUGGACUUUAGUUGAAAAUAAUGUGUCACUAUUCUUUCAUGGGUUGUAACAAAUGUGCCACACUAAUGUAAGAUGUUAAUAAUAGCAGAAAUAGGGGGGAGAGAGGAGGGAUCUAGGAGCUCUCUGGAUUUUCCAUUUUAUUUUGUUAUAAAUCUAAAACUGUUCUUAAAAAUAAUGUCUGUUAAUUUUUUUUUUAAAAAGGAAAGAAGCACUGAUACAUGCUAUGACAUGGAAGAACUCUAAAAAUAUUAGGCUAAGGGAAAGAAGCCACAUACACAUACACAUACACAGAUAGUUUAUGGUUCCAUUUAUAUAAAAUAUUCAGAAUAGAAAAGUUCAUAGGGACAGAAAGUAGAUUACCUGGGGAGUAGGGGGUGAAAAAUGGGUAGUAACUGCUUAAUGGGUAUGAAGUUUCGUUUAGGGCGAUGAAAAUAUUCUGGAACUAGAAAGUGAUGAUGAUGGUCACACAGCAAUGUCACAUAUACAAUACCACAGAACUGUACACUUUAAAAUGGUUAAAGGGUUUUAUUUUAUGUUAUGUAUUUUACCACAAUUGAAAAAAAUGUUUAUUAAAAUUAAUGUGUAAACAUUUGUGGAAGAAUAAUGUGUAGUUUCUAACAUUUAUGUGUUUAAAUUUAUGAGUUUAAAAAUAGAAAAAAAAAUGAUGGCCCAGAAGAGCAAGUUCAGAGUGCUGUUCAUGAGUGAUCCGCAUGGGACCGCGAUGCCUCUGACGUCUGCCAUCCUGGAGAGCAGCAGAGCGUCACUAGCAGGUCCUCGUCUUCUCACUUCAUAACAUUCUUUCCAAAAGUCUUGUUGACAUUCUUCUGUCUUCCACAUAUAGUUUAUCUUCUUGAACUCAUUAUAACUUUAAAAUAUUUUUACUGUGUUACAUGUACUGCUUAUAUUUGUUUAUUUUAUAAUUAUUAAUUUUAAAUUGUGCACUUUAUUUUGCUCUA